Molecule: ribosomal RNA, 495 nt
Filed under: uncultured bacterium
Lineage: Bacteria
Description: partial 16S ribosomal RNA
Rfam family: Bacterial small subunit ribosomal RNA
Source: RNAcentral
GACGAACGCUGGCGGCGUGCCUAUUACAUGCAAGUAGAACGCUGAAGGAGGAGCUUGCUUCUCUGGAUGAGUUGCGAACGGGUGAGUAACGCGUAGGUAACCUGCCUGGUAGCGGGGGAUAACUAUUGGAAACGAUAGCUAAUACCGCAUAAGAGUAGAUGUUGCAUGACAUUUGCUUAAAAGGUGCAAUUGCAUCACUACCAGAUGGACCUGCGUUGUAUUAGCUAGUUGGUGGGGUAACGGCUCACCAAGGCGACGAUACAUAGCCGACCUGAGAGGGUGAUCGGCCACACUGGGACUGAGACACGGCCCAGACUCCUACGGGAGGCAGCAGUAGGGAAUCUUCGGCAAUGGACGGAAGUCUGACCGAGCAACGCCGCGUGAGUGAAGAAGGUUGUCGGAUCGUAAAGCUCUGUUGUAAGAGAAGAACGAGUGUGAGAGUGGAAAGUUCACACUGUGACGGUAUCUUACCAGAAAGGGACGGCUAACUACGUG